Molecule: long non-coding RNA, 513 nt
Organism: Harpia harpyja (harpy eagle)
Lineage: Eukaryota; Metazoa; Chordata; Aves; Accipitriformes; Accipitridae
Exons: 3
Source: RefSeq, a predicted model, not a curated record
GAACCAUUACAUACAAGGUAUGCAGAGGUGCAGUUUUUCAGGGUAGGUCCACAGUUAGAGCCCAGGCAUGCUGUAUUGCAUAAGGGACAGUGAUUCAGCAGUAAUGAUAAUAUCUGCUAUAUGUUCAGAGACUGGUGAACUUUUAUUGCUUUCCUCCAAAUGUGUUUCUCUAUUUGGUGCUACUUGGAGCAGGAGGCUGGAGCAAAACAACCAGUUUGAAGCUGUUGAAAAUGCGUACAGUGUCCACAAUCUGAAAACGUAAACCACCAGGUGCCACUGAGAAAGAGAUGGAGGAAAACACAUUUCCAGCUUCAGCCAGAAAGAAGCAGCAGGGACAGCACUGCAAGAAAUCUUCCAAAGCAUGCAAAAUUUUCGAUGAAUUGAGAAAUGAAGAUAUUGGAGUCACAGAACUUCCAGAACAUCGGAAAUCCAGUGCCAGUGCUUUAGCCCAACGAGAAACAAAGCCUGUGCCUCUGAGUCUUCAAGAGGUGGCUCUGAAGCAUCCAGUGCUGG